Molecule: ribosomal RNA, 246 nt
Filed under: Polyporales sp. 5 CRJH-2017
Lineage: Eukaryota; Fungi; Basidiomycota; Agaricomycetes; Polyporales
Description: partial 28S ribosomal RNA
Rfam family: Eukaryotic large subunit ribosomal RNA
Source: RNAcentral
AAAGCUCAAAUUUAAAAUCUGGCUGUUUUGCAGUCCGAGUUGUAAUCUAGAGAAGUGUUUUCCGCGCUGGACCGUGUACAAGUCUCUUGGAAUAGAGCGUCAUAGAGGGUGAGAAUCCCGUCUUUGACACGGACUACCAGUGCUUAUGUGAUGCGCUCUCGAAGAGUCGAGUUGUUUGGGAAUGCAGCUCAAAAUGGGUGGUAAAUUCCAUCUAAAGCUAAAUAUUGGCGAGANACCNAUAGCGAA